RNAcentral lists this transfer RNA (73 nucleotides) under Lepisosteus oculatus (spotted gar). It matches the Rfam family "tRNA". From Rfam's summary of the family: Transfer RNA (tRNA) molecules are approximately 80 nucleotides in length. Their secondary structure includes four short double-helical elements and three loops (D, anti-codon, and T loops). The record is from Rfam by way of RNAcentral. Lineage: Eukaryota; Metazoa; Chordata; Actinopteri; Semionotiformes; Lepisosteidae.
GCCUCGUUAGCGCAGUAGGCAGAAUGUCAGUCUCAUAAUCUGAAGGUUGCGAGUUCGAUCCUCACACAGGGCA